GUCUUAUUUAUAUAUUUGUUUACGAUCAAUUAUUUCGGACAAAAAAUUACGGACCACAACGAUCAUGUAUUUUAUACCGCCUACAAUGUUCGGUGGUACACUGCGUCUGUACAGGUACAGAAACUGAUAUUAUUUCUUUUGCAAAGAGGUAGUAAAACUGUAACUCUGAAUUUUGCCGGAGUAUUUUCACUAUCCAUCGAGCUUUUUGCAAUGCUAAUAAAGGUAUCAUUGUCCUACUUUACUGUUAUAUAUUCCAUGCAGGAGUAAUGUAAAAAAUAAA
This is a long non-coding RNA of Camponotus floridanus (Florida carpenter ant), 280 nucleotides long. RefSeq lists it as uncharacterized. The transcript has 3 exons. NCBI's taxonomy places the organism in Eukaryota, Metazoa, Arthropoda, Insecta, Hymenoptera, Formicidae. The record is from RefSeq and is a predicted model, not a curated record.